RNAcentral lists this ribosomal RNA (440 nucleotides) under uncultured bacterium. RNAcentral's name for it is "partial 16S ribosomal RNA". It matches the Rfam family "Bacterial small subunit ribosomal RNA", at positions 338 to 795 of the family's 1533-position model. The record is from RNAcentral.
CCUACGGGAGGCAGCAGUGGGGGAUAUUGCACAAUGGGGGCAACCCUGAUGCAGCGACGCCGCGUGAGUGAAGAAGGAUUUCGGUGUGUAAAGCUCUGUCAGCAGGGAAGAAAAUGACGGUACCUGAUUAAGAAGCCCCGGCUAACUACGUGCCAGCAGCCGCGGUAAUACGUAGGGGGCAAGCGUUAUCCGGAUUUACUGGGUGUAAAGGGGGCGUAGACGGCAGCACAAGUCUGGAGUGAAAUGCCGGGGCUUAACCCCGGGACUGCUUGGGAAACUGUGUAGCUAGAGUGCAGGAGAGGGAAGUGGAAUUCCUAGUGUAGCGGUGAAAUGCGUAGAUAUUAGGAGGAACACCAGUGGCGAAGGCGGCUUACUGGACUGUAACUGACGUUGAGGCGCGAAAGCGUGGGGAGCAAACAGGAUUAGAUACCCUUGUAGUC